RNAcentral lists this ribosomal RNA (406 nucleotides) under uncultured bacterium. RNAcentral's name for it is "bacterial SSU rRNA". It matches the Rfam family "Bacterial small subunit ribosomal RNA", at positions 355 to 776 of the family's 1533-position model. The record is from RNAcentral.
UCAGGAAUCUUGCACAAUGGGGGAAACCCUGAUGCAGCGACGUCGCGUGGAGGAAGACGGCCUUCGGGUUGUAAACUCCUUUUAACCGGGACGAGAAUGGACGGUACCGGUUGAAUAAGCCCCGGCUAACUCCGUGCCAGCAGCCGCGGUAAUACGGAGGGGGCGAGCGUUGUCCGAAUUUAUUGGGCGUAAAGCGCGUGUAGGCGGAUGGGAAAGCCUGGGGUGAAAGGUUGGAGCUCAACUCCAUACAGUGCCCUGGGGACUUCUUGUCUGGAGGCAGGCAGGGGAUCGUGGAAUUCCUGGUGUAGCGGUGGAAUGCGUAGAGAUCAGGAAGAACACCCGUGGCGAAGGCGGCGAUCUGGGCCUGUACUGACGCUGAGACGCGAAAGCGUGGGGAGCGAACGGG